UGGGGGUUAUUUUAGUUAAAAUUUGUGAUUGUCAUUCACUAGAUCCCUAAUUUGAUAAGGGACCCCCAC
Molecule: transfer RNA, 69 nt
Filed under: Craspedonirmus immer
Lineage: Eukaryota; Metazoa; Arthropoda; Insecta; Psocodea; Philopteridae
Description: tRNA-Asp
Source: RNAcentral